ACAACGGGAUAGCCUCGGGAAACUGGGAUUAAUACCGUAUGAUACUUAAAAAUCUCAUGAUUUUUAAGUCAAAGCGUAAAGCGGUGAAAGAUGGUCUCGCGUCCCAUUAGUUAGUUGGUGAGGUAACUGCUCACCAAGACUUCGAUGGGUAGCCGGCCUGAGAGGGUGAACGGCCACACUGGAACUGAGACACGGUCCAGACUCCUACGGGAGGCAGCAGUGGGGAAUAUUGCACAAUGGAGGAAACUCUGAUGCAGCGACGCCGCGUGAGCGACGAAGGCCUUCGGGUCGUAAAGCUCUGUCCUUGGGGACGAUAAUGACGGUACCCAAGGAGGAAGCCCCGGCUAACUACGUGCCAGCAGCCGCGGUAAUACGUAGGGGGCGAGCGUUGUCCGGAAUUAUUGGGCGUAAAGGGUUCGCAGGCGGUCUUUUAAGUCAGAUGUUAAAUGCAUAGGCUCAACCUAUGAGUGCAUUUGAAACUGGAAGACUUGAGUUAAGGAGAGGA
Molecule: ribosomal RNA, 505 nt
Filed under: uncultured bacterium
Lineage: Bacteria
Description: bacterial SSU rRNA
Rfam family: Bacterial small subunit ribosomal RNA
Source: RNAcentral